GAUGAACGCUGACAGAAUGCUUAACACAUGCAAGUCUUUGGCGAAGCUGUGCUUGCACAGCCUAGCCAAGGCGGACGGGUGAGUAACGCGUAAGGAACUUGCCCUGCAGUCAGGGAUAACAGACGGAAACGACUGAUAAGACCUGGUAAAGUCAGGCGGACUCGUGUCCAGCCUGAUGAAAAGAGAUGCUGCAGGAGAGCCUUGCGUCCUAUUAGCUUGUUGGUGGGGUAACGGCCCACCAAGGCGAUGAUAGGUAGCCGGCCUGAGAGGGUGGACGGCCACAAGGGGACUGGGAUACGGCCCUUACUCCUACGGGAGGCAGCAGUGGGGAAUAUUGGACAAUGGGGGCAACCCUGAUCCAGCAAUUCUGUGUGCACGAUGAAGGUUUUCGGAUUGUAAAGUGCUUUCAGCAGGGAAGAAAAAAAUGACGGUACCUGCAGAAGAAGCGACGGCUAAAUACGUG
Molecule: ribosomal RNA, 463 nt
Filed under: uncultured bacterium
Lineage: Bacteria
Description: partial 16S ribosomal RNA
Rfam family: Bacterial small subunit ribosomal RNA
Source: RNAcentral